UCCUUUAUUGCCAUUAUUGACCAUAAAAACAAGCACAUACACAAAGUCCUAUAACUUCCAAUUCAUAGCUACAAUCCCAAACCCUCUUACACCACCAUCACCAAAAACAUGUAGCUAGUAACAUCCAAGUCCUCCAUACCCCAUGAUGCUCUUCUCUUCAUGGAAAGGCGAAACAUCGAAAUUUUGGUAGGCUUGUGCCAAGUUAAAAAGCUAAGACGACCUGACAGAUUAGAAGAUAUCGUCGUGGUGGUAAUGGUAAUGGUGGUGGUAAUAGUAACGAUAGUUGGUAUAAUAGUAUACCAAAUUCCAAAAGAAUAAUAAGUAAAGAAUUUCUCCUUAAUUUAUUAAGGAUGAUUUUCUUCUCCUGAAAAGGGCAACUUCAAAUCCUUUGGCAUUUUUCCAUCAAGUCCCUCUCUACCUCCCUUCACUCUCUUUUGUGAAUUCAGGAUUUCAGAGAGAAAAGCAACAUCCAUCCAUCACUAAUUCACUAUAUUAUGUAAUAUAUAUUGUGUGUUCUCUCUCUCUCUCUCUUUUUUUUAUUUUUUUUAUUUUUUUAUGUAGUUCUUGCUUAAUUUGGACUGUAUGUGAUUUCAAUUGCAGGUUAUGUCUACUAUUAUUAUCACUAUGAUCAACUUUAUAGUAUAGUUUUACUGUAUUGGUAGGUAGCAAAUAAUAAUGUAAUCUAUGAUGAAUAGGCUUCUAUAUGGCCAAAGUGUGGUGUUGCUUUUUUAGGAACAAUUUUUUUUUUUUUAUGAAAUGAUUAAAUAUCUUAUUAUUA
Molecule: non-coding RNA, 778 nt
Organism: Arachis ipaensis
Lineage: Eukaryota; Viridiplantae; Streptophyta; Magnoliopsida; Fabales; Fabaceae
Source: RefSeq, a predicted model, not a curated record